RNAcentral lists this ribosomal RNA (252 nucleotides) under uncultured bacterium. Its description in RNAcentral is "partial 16S ribosomal RNA". It matches the Rfam family "Bacterial small subunit ribosomal RNA", at positions 524 to 776 of the family's 1533-position model. The record is from RNAcentral.
UACGUAGGGGGCAAGCGUUGUCCGGAUUUAUUGGGCGUAAAGAGCGUGUAGGCGGCUUGGUAGGUCUCGCGUCAAAACCUGAGGCUCAACCUCAGUUCGCGUGGGAAACCACCUAGCUAGAGUCCGGAAGAGGAGAACGGAAUUCCCAGUGUAGCGGUGAAAUGCGCAGAUAUCAGGAGGAACACCGGUGGCGAAGGCGGUGGUCUGGGCCGGCACUGACGCUGAGGAGCGAAAGCGUGGGGAGCGAACAGG